AUUGAACGCUGGCGGCAUGCCUUACACAUGCAAGUCGAACGGCAGCACGGGGGCAACCCUGGUGGCGAGUGGCGAACGGGUGAGUAAUACAUCGGAACGUGUCCUCUUGUGGGGGAUAACCAGUCGAAAGAUUGGCUAAUACCGCAUGAGAUCGCAAGAUGAAAGCGGGGGACCGCAAGGCCUCGCGCGAGAGGAGCGGCCGAUGUCGGAUUAGCUAGNGGUGGGGUAAAGCCUACCAAGGCGACGAUCCGUAGCUGGUCUGAGAGGACGACCAGCCACACUGGGACUGAGACACGGCCCAGACUCCUACGGGAGGCAGCAGUGGGGAAUUUUGGACAAUGGGCGCAAGCCUGAUCCAGCCAUGCCGCGUGUGUGAAGAAGGCCUCGGUUGUAA
This 394-nucleotide ribosomal RNA is filed under the name uncultured bacterium. Its description in RNAcentral is "bacterial SSU rRNA". It matches the Rfam family "Bacterial small subunit ribosomal RNA", at positions 29 to 428 of the family's 1533-position model. The record is from RNAcentral.